UACGGGGGGGGCAAGCGUUGUUCGGAAUUACUGGGCGUAAAGGGCUCGUAGGUGGCCAACUAAGUCGGACGUGAAAUCCCUCGGCUUAACCGGGGAACUGCAUCCGAUACUGGAUGGCUUGAGUUCGGGAGAGGGAUGCGGAAUUCCAGGUGUAGCGGUGAAAUGCGUAGAUAUCUGGAGGAACACCGGUGGCGAAGGCGGCAUCCUGGACCGACACUGACGCUGAGGAGCGAAAGCCAGGGGAGCGAACGGG
RNAcentral lists this ribosomal RNA (253 nucleotides) under uncultured bacterium. RNAcentral describes it as "partial 16S ribosomal RNA". It matches the Rfam family "Bacterial small subunit ribosomal RNA", at positions 524 to 776 of the family's 1533-position model. The record is from RNAcentral.